RNAcentral lists this long non-coding RNA (200 nucleotides) under Malus domestica (apple). RNAcentral's name for it is "long non-coding RNA (MDOM_LNC000384)". The record is from RNAcentral. Lineage: Eukaryota; Viridiplantae; Streptophyta; Magnoliopsida; Rosales; Rosaceae.
AUUAAUUUACAAAAUUCAUUAAUUAUCAUAAUAUAAUUAGAAAUACAACCUAUGACUGCUAAAUUUUAACUUAUAUCUACUUCAGCUAUUGCAGUUGCAACUUAUUGGUGAUUAUCCCAUCUAUCAUUAUAUAUGUACUCUAAAGCUUUUGUGGCUACUUGUUUUUUGGUUAAUCCUGAUAUUCCAAUUAAUAAUAUUCC